Molecule: ribosomal RNA, 497 nt
Filed under: uncultured bacterium
Lineage: Bacteria
Description: partial 16S ribosomal RNA
Rfam family: Bacterial small subunit ribosomal RNA
Source: RNAcentral
GAUGAACGCUGGCGGCGUGCCUAAUACAUGCAAGUCGAGCGAACAGACGAGGAGCUUGCUCCUCUUACGUUAGCGGCGGACGGGUGAGUAACACGUGGAUAACCUACCUAUAAGACUGGGAUAACUUCGGGAAACCGGAGCUAAUACCGGAUAAUAUAUUUAACCGCAUGGUUCAAUAGUGAAAGACGGUUUUGCUUUCACUUAUAGAUGUAUCCGCGCCGCAUUAGCUAGUUGGUAAGGUAACGGCUUACCAAGGCAACGAUGCGUAGCCGACCUGAGAGGGUGAUCGGCCACACGGAAACUGAGAAACGGUCCAGACUCCUACGGGAGGAAGCAGUAGGGAAUCUUCCGCAAUGGGCGAAAGCCUGACGGAGCAACGCCGCGUGAGUGAUGAAGGUCUUCGGAUCGUAAAACUCUGUUAUUAGGGAAGAACAAAUGUGUAAGUAACUAUGCACGUAUUGACGGUAACUAAUCAGAAAGCCACGGCUAACUACGUG